Molecule: ribosomal RNA, 789 nt
Filed under: uncultured archaeon
Lineage: Archaea
Description: bacterial SSU rRNA
Rfam family: Archaeal small subunit ribosomal RNA
Source: RNAcentral
ACUGCUCAGUAACACGUGGAUAACCUGCCCUAUGGUGGAGAAUAACCCCGGGAAACUGGGGAUAAUACUCCAUAGAUUAGAGAUACUGGAAUGUUCUUUAAUCGAAAGUUGAGGCGCCAUAGGAUGGAUCUGCGGUCGAUUAGGUUGUUGUUGGGGUAACGGCCCAACAAGCCUGUAAUCGAUACGGGUUGUGGGAGCAAGAGCCCGGAGAUGGAAUCUGAGACACGAUUCCAGGCCCUACGGGGCGCAGCAGGCGCGAAAACUUUACAAUGCAGGAAACUGUGAUAAGGGAACCCCGAGUGCCCGUAUACGCGGGCUGUCCAGGUGUCUAAAAAGCAUCUGAAGAAAGGGCCGGGCAAGACCGGUGCCAGCCGCCGCGGUAAUACCGGCGGCUCGAGUGGUGGCCACUAUUAUUGGGCUUAAAGCGUCCGUAGCUGGACUCUUAAGUCUCUUGGGAAAUCCGCCGGCUUAACCGACGGGCGUCUAAGAGAUACUGAGAGUCUAGGGACCGGGAGAGGUGAGAGGUACUCCGGGGGUAGGAGUGAAAUCCUGUAAUCCCUGGGGGACCACCGAUGGCGAAGGCAUCUCACCAGAACGGCUCCGACAGUGAGGGACGAAAGCUGGGGGAGCGAACCGGAUUAGAUACCCGGGUAGUCCCAGCCGUAAACUAUGCGCGUUAGGUGUACUGGUGACCACGAGUCACUGGGGUGCCGAAGGGAAACCGUGAAACGUGCCGCCUGGGAAGUACGGCCGCAAGGCUGAAACUUAAAGGAAUUGGCGGGGGAGCAC